GUGCGUCUGGGGAAUGUAACCGGGUAGAAUUGGAAUGAGAUGCCUGCAGAGACAGCACGAGGGGGUGAACCCUACACAUGCCAGGAAGACGUUGUCAAACGUGGUGAACCCCCUUCAGUAAGAAGCUGUUGCGACCCGUUCUCACCUUAUCAAAUCAGAGGCUGCAUGAAGUCCUGGGGGGGUUUAAAAACCACUUGCUGGGUUACAUGGAGGCAGAAUCGUGGAAUUGUUUUCUCGGAUGGACCCACAUGCGACUGGAUUCAUCUUUUUUUUUUUUUUUUGCAGUUACAAACUAAACUUCAUUUUAUUUUAAUUUUUAAAUGAUUUUUAUUUUUUCCAUUAUAACUGGUUUACAGUGUUCUGUCAAUUUUCUACGCGCAGCAAGGUGACCCGGUCACACAUACAUAUAUAGAUUCUUUUUUCUCCCAUUAUGAUGCUCCAUCAUAAGUGACCAGAUGGACUCAUCUUCUUAAAUGAAAAGAGCAUCUGAGAAAACAGCAUCAUUAUGCGAGUCGGUCCUUCCUUUUAACAACCGCAUGGAGCAUAAACCACUGUGUUCUUUCCAGCUCUGAAAAUGGAAUUCCAGCUUUCAAAACAGCCAAGGGAGUUAUUUACGUAAUGAACUAAAAACAAAUAAAAAACCCAGCAAGCACCAGGACUCUUCUUAAGGACCCACCUUCCUUGAAGGGCUCUUAUGAGAAUCAGAUGCUCAAAGAACGCAGGGGAAUGCCAGGUCUGGCCAGUGGAGAUUCAACGUUGGCUCUUACUUGGGGAGGUGGAGGGUGGGGAGUGGCUGGGGCAUCACUAAAGCAUCACGGGACAGGGAACUGCCCUGCGUGGCCGACAGAGGCACAGAGGUGAGGAAGGAGAGGGAGCAGCCAGGGGGGAAAGUGGACCAGGAGCCCAUUCCCGGACCGAGCCACAUUUAAGUAGAGCUGUGGAGGGAGUUCCCGUUGUGGCUCAGUGGUUAACAAAUCCGACUAGGAAACAUGAGGUUGCAGGUUUGAUCCCUGGCCUUGCUCAGUGGGUUAAGGAUCUGGUGUUGCCGUAGACCCAUAACCUGGGAACCUCCAUAUGCCUUGAGAGUGGCCCUAAAAGAGGCAAAAAAAAAAAAAAAAAAAAAAAAAAAAAAAAAAAA
This 1138-nucleotide long non-coding RNA is filed under the name Sus scrofa (pig). Its description in RNAcentral is "lncRNA (ENSSSCG00025061624.1)". Lineage: Eukaryota; Metazoa; Chordata; Mammalia; Artiodactyla; Suidae. The record is from RNAcentral.